GUCACAAAACACAACAUUUCAUGUGGAUAUCGGCUUCAAACUGUGGCAUGUAUGAAGUCAUUUUACUGUUUUGGUGUGCAGUACAUUCCAGUUUAAAGUUCACAUUUCCCAGUUAAGUGGAAUUACAUGGCAUAUGACAGCUUCAAUGCUGUGCACUGUUUGGGUGUGUGGUGUGAUCUAGUCUCCAGUCAGAAUCUCAGAGCUGAAGUUUGAGCCCUUAGACAAGAGGAGGAGCACAGCAGCAAGUGGGAUGUUUUCUCUGUGAAGAGGAUUGAAGUAGCAAUGAACAUUAUUAUGGUGACAUCAGAUUAAAGUGAUUGAGUGAAGAACUGAUUCCAAGCAGAACUGUUUACCAGCCUCCACAUGAACUACACCAUGUGCCCUACCAUGAUGAUCUCAGUAGCACUGCUACUAUUUUUAACCAUUCUAGGUAGGAGUACUGGAAGCCCUAUUGCUCCAGAAAGUGUAGAGAAGUAUGCCGUAGAAGGACAAAAUGUUCAGCUCUCCUGCAGGUACAAUGGAACUGCUUAUGGUCUGUAUUGGUAUCGCCAGUUCUCCCAGUCUGUGCCUGAGUUUCUCAUUCUGGAUUAUCAAGGUGUUAUCACCAACGCAACUCCUCCUGUUCCUGGGAUAUCAAUUAGACAUACCAAGGCAGCAAGACAAGUGUUCUUGGAGAUCUCAUCUACUAAUGUGUCAGACUCUGCUCUUUACUAUUGUGCCAUGGAGCCCACAGUGUCAGGAAACUCAGCUGCGCUCAACAAAAACCCUCACAGCUUUUAGGUGAUGGCAAAGACAUAGAAAA
This is a non-coding RNA of Alosa sapidissima (American shad), 802 nucleotides long. Lineage: Eukaryota; Metazoa; Chordata; Actinopteri; Clupeiformes; Clupeidae. The record is from the annotation of a RefSeq genome assembly.